AUAUGUAAAUUAAAUUUUAAAAAAAUAUUUACAUAAAUUUGAAUAUUUAGAAGGGUAUACAUACAAAAAAACUUAUAAGAUAAUAAUAAAAAAAUAAAUAAAUUACUUUCUCUAAAUUAAUAUUAUUUAAUAUUAGCUCAAAAUAUAACAUGCACCAAAUGCAUAAUAACUCCAACUAAUGCUUAAUAAGAAAAAUUCAAACCAAUCAUCAACCC
Molecule: long non-coding RNA, 215 nt
Filed under: Elaeis guineensis (African oil palm)
Lineage: Eukaryota; Viridiplantae; Streptophyta; Magnoliopsida; Arecales; Arecaceae
Description: long non-coding RNA (EGUI_LNC033883)
Source: RNAcentral